GAAAUGCGAUAAGUAAUGUGAAUUGCAGAAUUCAGUGAAUCAUCGAAUCUUUGAACACACCUUGCGCUCCUUGGUAUUCCUUGGAGCAUGCCUGUUUGAGUAUCAUGAAAUCUUCAAAGUAAAUCUUUUGUUAACUCAAUUGGUUUCUACUUUGGUAUUGGAGGUCUUUGCAGCUUCACACCUGCUCCUCUUUGUUCAUUAGCUGGAUCUCAGUGUUAUGCUUGGUUCCACUCGGCGUGAUAAGUUAUCUAUCGCUGCGGACACUGUAAAAGGUGGCCAAGGUAAAUGCAGAUGAACCGCUUCUAAUAGUCCAUUGACUUGGACAAUACUUUUAUGAUCUGAUCUCAAAUCAGGUAGGACUACCCGCUGAACUUAAGC
RNAcentral lists this unclassified non-coding RNA (378 nucleotides) under plant metagenome. RNAcentral describes it as "partial contains 5.8S ribosomal RNA, internal transcribed spacer 2, and large subunit ribosomal RNA". The stretch from base 1 to 105 matches the Rfam family "5.8S ribosomal RNA", at positions 50 to 154 of the family's 154-position model. The record is from RNAcentral.